GGAAGAGGAUCGCGUCCCGGUGGUGCGCACGGACUUCAAAUCCGCUGAGAUCUGUCAGGCAGGUCUGGUAGGUUCGACUCCUACCCUCUUCCGCCA
This 96-nucleotide transfer RNA is filed under the name Gammaproteobacteria bacterium. RNAcentral describes it as "tRNA-Sec". It matches the Rfam family "Selenocysteine transfer RNA". Lineage: Bacteria; Pseudomonadati; Pseudomonadota; Gammaproteobacteria. The record is from RNAcentral.